ACAGCUCAAAUUUGAAAUCUGGCCUCGGCCCGAGUUGUAAUUUGCAGAGGAUGCUUUUGGUGCGGUGCCUUCCGAGUUCCCUGGAACGGGACGCCACAGAGGGUGAGAGCCCCGUAUGGUCGGACACCAAUCCUGUGUAAAGCUCCUUCGACGAGUCGAGUAGUUUGGGAAUGCUGCUCUAAAUGGGAGGUAAAUCUCUUCUAAAGCUAAAUACUGGCCAGAGACCGAUAGCGCACAAGUAGAGUGAUCGAAAGAUGAAAAGCACCUUGAAAAGGGGGUUAAACAGUACGUGAAAUUGUUGAAAGGGAAGCACUUGUGACCAGACUUGGGCCGGGCGGCUCAUCAGGGGUUCUCCCCUGUGCAUUCCGCCCGGUACAGGCCAGCAUCGGUUCUUACCGGGGGAUAAGAACGGCAGGAACGUGGCUCCCUCUCGGGGGAGUGUUAUAGCCUGCCGUACGAUACCCUGGCGGGGACCGAGGUUCGCGCUUCCGCAAGGAUGCUGGCGUAAUGGUUACUAGUGACCCGUCUUGAAACACGGACCAAGGAGUCGUCCAUUAGAGCGAGCGUUUGGGUGUAAAACCCGCACGCGUAAUGAAAGUGAAAUUAGGUGAGAGCUUCGGCGCAUCAUCGACCGAUCCUGAUGUUCUCGGAUGGAUUUGAGUAAGAGUUUUAACGGACGGACCCGAAAGACAGUGAACUAUGCUUGUAUAGGGUGAAGCCAGAGGAAACUCUGGUGGAGGCUCGCAGCGGUUCUGACGUGCAAAUCGAUCGUCAAAUAUGAGCAUGGGGGCGAAAGACUAAUCGAACUGUCUAGUAGCUGGUUACCGCCGAAGUUUCCCUCAGGAUAGCAGUGUUGAC
This 858-nucleotide ribosomal RNA is filed under the name Tubakia seoraksanensis. Its description in RNAcentral is "eukaryotic LSU rRNA". It matches the Rfam family "Eukaryotic large subunit ribosomal RNA", at positions 104 to 991 of the family's 3401-position model. The record is from RNAcentral. Lineage: Eukaryota; Fungi; Ascomycota; Sordariomycetes; Diaporthales; Tubakiaceae.